ACACCGCCCGUCACACCAUGGGAGUGGGUUGUACCAGAAGUAGAUAGCUUAACCUUUUGGAGGGCGUUUACCACGGUAUGAUUCAUGACUGGGGUGAAGUCGUAACAAGGUAACCGUAGGGGAACCUGCGGUUGGAUCACCUCCUUACUGAAGAC
This 155-nucleotide ribosomal RNA is filed under the name Haemophilus influenzae. RNAcentral describes it as "partial 16S ribosomal RNA". It matches the Rfam family "Bacterial small subunit ribosomal RNA", at positions 1387 to 1533 of the family's 1533-position model. Lineage: Bacteria; Pseudomonadati; Pseudomonadota; Gammaproteobacteria; Pasteurellales; Pasteurellaceae. The record is from RNAcentral.